Molecule: non-coding RNA, 352 nt
Organism: Camelina sativa (false flax)
Lineage: Eukaryota; Viridiplantae; Streptophyta; Magnoliopsida; Brassicales; Brassicaceae
Source: RefSeq, a predicted model, not a curated record
ACCAAGGAAGAUGUUGAGAAGAUUAUUGACUGGGAAAAAACAUCUCCUAAACAAGUCGAGAUCCCGUUUAAACCGGCUCGUGUUCUUCUACAGGACUUUACUGGAGUCCCAGCUGUUGUUGACCUUGCUUGUAUGCGUGAUGCGAUGAACAAGCUGGGCAGUGAUUCCAACAAAAUUAAUCCCUUGGUUCCGGUGGAUCUUGUAAUUGACCACUCAGUUCAAGUUGAUGUUGCUCGGUCUGAAAACGCAGUGCAAGCAAACAUGGAGCUUGAGUUCCAGAGGAACAAGGAAAGGUUUGCUUUCCUUAAAUGGGGUUCUACUGCGUUCCAGAACAUGCUUGUUGUGCCUCCUG